AUACGGAAGGUCCGGGCGUUAUCCGGAUUUAUUGGGUUUAAAGGGAGCGCAGGCGGAGAUGCAAGCGUGACGUCAAAUUUCGGGGCUCAACCCCGUCUCGCGUCGCGAACUGCGUCCCUUGGUUGCGGGAAGGGGAGGCGGAACUCGUGGUGUAGCGGUGAAAUGCAUAGAUAUCACGAAGAACUCCGAUCGCGAAGGCCGCCUUCCGGCCCGUCAACGACGCUAAUGCUCGAAGGUGCGGGUAUCAAACAGGAUUAGAUACCCUGGUAGUCCGCACAGUAAACGAUAGACACCCGCGGUUUGGCCUGUAUGGCUGAGCCGCCAAGCGAAAGCGUUAAGUGUCCCACCUGGGGAGUACGCCGGCAACGGUGAAACUCAAAUGAAUUGACGG
RNAcentral lists this ribosomal RNA (391 nucleotides) under uncultured bacterium. Its description in RNAcentral is "partial 16S ribosomal RNA". It matches the Rfam family "Bacterial small subunit ribosomal RNA", at positions 523 to 916 of the family's 1533-position model. The record is from RNAcentral.